Molecule: non-coding RNA, 96 nt
Organism: Mycena polygramma
Lineage: Eukaryota; Fungi; Basidiomycota; Agaricomycetes; Agaricales; Mycenaceae
Source: the annotation of a GenBank genome assembly
UCGGACGUGGUGCAUGGCGCACACCCGCCUUCACUGUACGCUCUUAGCAUCCGAUGGGUUGAACGGGAGAACCGGGUUCGAUUCCUGGCGUCCGAA